AAUCAACGCUGGCGGCGUGCCUCAGACAUGCAAGUCGAACGAUUAAAGCUCUCUUCGGAGAGUGCAUAGAGUGGCGCACGGGUGAGUAACACGUAAGUAAUCUACCUUCGAGUGGGGAAUAACGUCCGGAAACGGACGCUAAUACCGCAUAAUGCAGCGGCAUCGUAAGAUGACAGUUGUUAAAGAUUUAUCGCUUGAAGAGGAGCUUGCGGCAGAUUAGCUAGUUGGUAAGGUAAUGGCUUACCAAGGCUACGAUCUGUAACCGGUCUUAGAGGACGGUCGGUCACACUGACACUGAAUAACGGGUCAGACUCCUACGGGAGGCAGCAGUCGGGAAUUUUGGGCAAUGGGCGAAAGCCUGACCCAGCAACGCCGCGUGAAGGAUGAAGUAUUUCGGAUGUAAACUUCGAAAGAAUGGGAAGAAUAAAUGACGGUACCAUUUAUAAGCUCCGGCUAACUACGUGCCAGCAGCCGCGGUAAU
Molecule: ribosomal RNA, 481 nt
Filed under: uncultured bacterium
Lineage: Bacteria
Description: bacterial SSU rRNA
Rfam family: Bacterial small subunit ribosomal RNA
Source: RNAcentral